This 1666-nucleotide ribosomal RNA is filed under the name Escherichia coli. Its description in RNAcentral is "partial 23S ribosomal RNA". It matches the Rfam family "Bacterial large subunit ribosomal RNA", at positions 1281 to 2925 of the family's 2925-position model. Lineage: Bacteria; Pseudomonadati; Pseudomonadota; Gammaproteobacteria; Enterobacterales; Enterobacteriaceae. The record is from RNAcentral.
AUCAGAAGUGCGAAUGCUGACAUAAGUAACGAUAAAGCGGGUGAAAAGCCCGCUCGCCGGAAGACCAAGGGUUCCUGUCCAACGUUAAUCGGGGCAGGGUGAGUCGACCCCUAAGGCGAGGCCGAAAGGCGUAGUCGAUGGGAAACAGGUUAAUAUUCCUGUACUUGGUGUUACUGCGAAGGGGGGACGGAGAAGGCUAUGUUGGCCGGGCGACGGUUGUCCCGGUUUAAGCGUGUAGGCUGGUUUUCCAGGCAAAUCCGGAAAAUCAAGGCUGAGGCGUGAUGACGAGGCACUACGGUGCUGAAGCAACAAAUGCCCUGCUUCCAGGAAAAGCCUCUAAGCAUCAGGUAACAUCAAAUCGUACCCCAAACCGACACAGGUGGUCAGGUAGAGAAUACCAAGGCGCUUGAGAGAACUCGGGUGAAGGAACUAGGCAAAAUGGUGCCGUAACUUCGGGAGAAGGCACGCUGAUAUGUAGGUGAAGUCCCUCGCGGAUGGAGCUGAAAUCAGUCGAAGAUACCAGCUGGCUGCAACUGUUUAUUAAAAACACAGCACUGUGCAAACACGAAAGUGGACGUAUACGGUGUGACGCCUGCCCGGUGCCGGAAGGUUAAUUGAUGGGGUUAGCGGUAACGCGAAGCUCUUGAUCGAAGCCCCGGUAAACGGCGGCCGUAACUAUAACGGUCCUAAGGUAGCGAAAUUCCUUGUCGGGUAAGUUCCGACCUGCACGAAUGGCGUAAUGAUGGCCAGGCUGUCUCCACCCGAGACUCAGUGAAAUUGAACUCGCUGUGAAGAUGCAGUGUACCCGCGGCAAGACGGAAAGACCCCGUGAACCUUUACUAUAGCUUGACACUGAACAUUGAGCCUUGAUGUGUAGGAUAGGUGGGAGGCUUUGAAGUGUGGACGCCAGUCUGCAUGGAGCCGGCCUUGAAAUACCACCCUUUAAUGUUUGAUGUUCUAACGUUGGCCCCUGAUCGGGGUUGCGGACAGUGUCUGGUGGGUAGUUUGACUGGGGCGGUCUCCUCCUAAAGAGUAACGGAGGAGCACGAAGGUUGGCUAAUCCUGGUCGGACAUCAGGAGGUUAGUGCAAUGGCAUAAGCCAGCUUGACUGCGAGCGUGACGGCGCGAGCAGGUGCGAAAGCAGGUCAUAGUGAUCCGGUGGUUCUGAAUGGAAGGGCCAUCGCUCAACGGAUAAAAGGUACUCCGGGGAUAACAGGCUGAUACCGCCCAAGAGUUCAUAUCGACGGCGGUGUUUGGCACCUCGAUGUCGGCUCAUCACAUCCUGGGGCUGAAGUAGGUCCCAAGGGUAUGGCUGUUCGCCAUUUAAAGUGGUACGCGAGCUGGGUUUAGAACGUCGUGAGACAGUUCGGUCCCUAUCUGCCGUGGGCGCUGGAGAACUGAGGGGGGCUGCUCCUAGUACGAGAGGACCGGAGUGGACGCAUCACUGGUGUUCGGGUUGUCAUGCCAAUGGCACUGCCCGGUAGCUAAAUGCGGAAGAGAUAAGUGCUGAAAGCAUCUAAGCACGAAACUUGCCCCGAGAUGAGUUCUCCCUGACUCCUUGAGAGUCCUGAAGGAACGUUGAAGACGACGACGUUGAUAGGCCGGGUGUGUAAGCGCAGCGAUGCGUUGAGCUAACCGGUACUAAUGAACCGUGAGGCUUAACCUU